CAAUAAGCGGAGGAAAAGAAACCAACAGGGAUUGCCUUAGUAACGGCGAGUGAAGCGGCAAAAGCUCAGAUUUGAAAUCUGGUGUCAUUUUGGCAUCCGAGUUGUAGUCUGUAGAGGUGUAUUCGAGUGUGGAUUUGGCUUAAGUUCCUUGGAACAGGGCGUCAUAGAGGGUGAGAACCCCGUUAAUGGCCUUUGUCUUAUGCUCAUGUGAAUCUCCUUCAACGAGUCGAGUUGUUUGGGAAUGCAGCUCUAAAUGGGUGGUAAAUUCCAUCUAAAGCUAAAUACUGGCAAAGAGACCGAUAGCGCACAAGUAGAGUGAUCGAAAGAUGAAAAGAACUCUGAACAGAGAGUUAAAUAGUACGUGAAAUUGUUGAAAGGGAAGCACUUGUGACCAGACGCACUUGCAGCCGAUCAAUUCUCAUUUUUGAGGGUGCACUCGGUUGUCUGUGGGUCAGCAUCAGUUAUAGCGGUAGGAAAAAGACUUGGGGAAUGUAGCUCCUUUCGGGGAGUGUUAUAGCCUUGUGUGCAAUGCUGCCUGCUGUGACUGAGGACCGCGCUUUGGCGAGGAUGCUGACAUAAUGGUCGUAAGUGACCCGUCUUGAAACACGGACCAA
Molecule: ribosomal RNA, 614 nt
Filed under: Terfezia claveryi
Lineage: Eukaryota; Fungi; Ascomycota; Pezizomycetes; Pezizales; Pezizaceae
Description: eukaryotic LSU rRNA
Rfam family: Eukaryotic large subunit ribosomal RNA
Source: RNAcentral